UCAUCUGAGAGCUUAGUAGAAGUGAGGAAUCAGAGAACACAGCUCUAUAUACUAAACCAGAAUGAGUAUUUAACAAGAUAUCCAGGGGAUUCUUAUGCUCAUCAACAUUUGCCAUGUACUGUUUGCUCCCUAGUGUAGCUUUUUGACCACUCCUGUGUGCUUCCGGAACAAAACGGGUUUCCUCCAAACCCAGCUCUUAUCACAAGGAAAAGUAACUUUGGCUUAUCUGUUUGUCCCUCUCCCUGGAAGAUGGCUACAUGGAAUCUAGGCUAAAAGAUUUCCAGUACUAUCAAAAACAUCUCACAUUGAACAGUGGAUUAAUCUUCGAAGGUAUGUCCCCAGUGAGGAGCCUGAGUCAGAUAUUUACUUGCUGUUGAAUCUCUCCACCUGAUUAUGAACAAACAUCUCAAACUGUUUUAGAAAUGUUUGGCGGUAUAUGUUGAACCUGAACAAAGACAUACUCUCUGAUCCAGAAUUCCACAACUUGGUCUACAAUCCACAAAAAUGUAUGCAAAUGGGCAUCAGAAGAUACAUAGGAAUGUUAAAAGUAUCAUUGUUUAUAAUUGCUCCAACCAAAACAAACAAACAAACAAACAGAUAAACAAUAGUAGAGUAGAUACAUCAGUUGGAGUAAAUUAUAAAAUGGAAUCCUGUACAGAAUUGCAAAAAAAGGAACCACUGCUAGGCAAUAUCAGAUAAUCUUGCAAACAUAAUCCUGAGUGACAAAUGCCAGGAUAAAAAUGUGUAUAAUGUAUAUUUUUAUUUAUAGACAC
Felis catus (domestic cat) is the source of this 773-nucleotide long non-coding RNA. RefSeq lists it as uncharacterized. The transcript is spliced from 3 exons. The record is from RefSeq and is a predicted model, not a curated record. NCBI's taxonomy places the organism in Eukaryota, Metazoa, Chordata, Mammalia, Carnivora, Felidae.